Molecule: long non-coding RNA, 226 nt
Filed under: Elaeis guineensis (African oil palm)
Lineage: Eukaryota; Viridiplantae; Streptophyta; Magnoliopsida; Arecales; Arecaceae
Description: long non-coding RNA (EGUI_LNC030260)
Source: RNAcentral
UGCGGUGGCCUCCGAUAGGACGUCGUUGGAGUGGUAUAAAGUAUUUGAUGUCUCUUUUUGUGGUCUCAUGAUGGUCGAAAUAAACUCCUCUCUAGAAUUGAACUGCAAUAGCGGCCCUUCCUCUAUCAUCAAUUUGUUGUUGCCAAUCUCUGGACUGAUAUUGAGGUCGAUCUGGAGGUAGCAAGCUGAAGUAGAUGAAGCUCCUCUUGGAUAAAAGCGGCCUCGC